UACGGAGGAUCCGAGCGUUAUCCGGAUUUAUUGGGUUUAAAGGGUGCGCAGGCGGAUUUUUAAGUCAGCGGUCAAAUCGUGGGGCUCAAACCCAUCCAGCCGUUGAAACUGGGGAUCUAGAGUGUGCGAGAGGUAUGCGGAAUGCGUGGUGUAGCGGUGAAAUGCAUAGAUAUCACACAGAACCCCGAUUGCGAAGGCAGCAUACCGGUGCACAACUGACGCUCAGGCACGAAAGCGUGGGUAUCGAACAGG
This 252-nucleotide ribosomal RNA is filed under the name uncultured bacterium. RNAcentral describes it as "partial 16S ribosomal RNA". It matches the Rfam family "Bacterial small subunit ribosomal RNA", at positions 524 to 776 of the family's 1533-position model. The record is from RNAcentral.